This 559-nucleotide ribosomal RNA is filed under the name uncultured bacterium. RNAcentral's name for it is "bacterial SSU rRNA". It matches the Rfam family "Bacterial small subunit ribosomal RNA", at positions 338 to 916 of the family's 1533-position model. The record is from RNAcentral.
CCUACGGGAGGCAGCAGUGGGGAAUAUUGGACAAUGGGGGCAACCCUGAUCCAGCAAUGCCGCGUGUGUGAUGAAGGCCUUAGGGUUGUAAAGCACUUUCACUGGUGAAGAUGAUGACGGUAACCAGAGAAGAAGCCCCGGCUAACUUCGUGCCAGCAGCCGCGGUAAUACGAAGGGGGCGAGCGUUGUUCGGAAUUACUGGGCGUAAAGGGCGCGUAGGCGGUCUUUUAAGUUAGGCGUGAAAGCCCCGGGCUCAACCUGGGAACUGCGCUUAAGACUGGAAAACUAGAAAACGGAAGAGGGUAGUGGAAUUCCCAGUGUAGAGGUGAAAUUCGUAGAUAUUGGGAAGAACACCAGUGGCGAAAGCGGCUACCUGGUCCGAUUUUGACGCUGAGGCGCGAAAGCGUGGGGAGCAAACAGGAUUAGAUACCCUGGUAGUCCACGCCGUAAACGAUGUCUGCUAGAUGUCGGGGGGUUGCCCCUCGGUGUCGCCGCUAACGCAUUAAGCAGACCGCCUGGGAAGUACGGUCGCAAGAUUAAAACUCAAAGGAAUUGACGG